This 442-nucleotide ribosomal RNA is filed under the name uncultured bacterium. RNAcentral describes it as "partial 16S ribosomal RNA". It matches the Rfam family "Bacterial small subunit ribosomal RNA", at positions 338 to 795 of the family's 1533-position model. The record is from RNAcentral.
CCUACGGGAGGCAGCAGUGAGGAAUAUUGGUCAAUGGGGGAAACCCUGAUGCAGCGACGCCGCGUGGGCGAAGAAGUAUUUCGGUAUGUAAAGCCCUAUCAGCAGGGAAGAAGAAAUGACGGUACCUGAGUAAGAAGCACCGGCUCAAUACGUGCCGGAAGCCGCGGUAAUACGUAUGGUGCAAGCGUUAUCCGGAUUUACUGGGUGGAAAGGGAGUGCAGGCGGCACGGCAAGCCUGAUGUGAAAGCCCACGGCCCAACCGCGGGACUGCAUUGGAAACUACCGGGCUGGAGUGCCGGAGAGGGAGGCGGAAUGCUUGGUGUAGCGGUGAAAUGCGUAGAUAUUAGGAGGAACACCAGUGGCGAAGGCGGCCUACUGGACGGUGACUGACGCUGAGGCUCGAAAGCGUGGGGAGCAAACAGGAUUAGAUACCCGGGUAGUC